UAGUAUAAGCAUUAUACCGCGAAACUGCGAAUGGCUCAUUAUAUAAGUUAUCGUUUAUUUGAUAGUACCUUACUACUUGGAUAACCGUGGUAAUUCUAGAGCUAAUACAUGCUAAAAAUCCCGACUUCGGAAGGGAUGUAUUUAUUAGAUUAAAAACCAAUGCCCUUCGGGGCUCACUGGUGAUUCAUGAUAACUCCUCGAAUCGCAUGGCCUUGUGCCGGCGAUGGUUCAUUCAAAUUUCUUCCCUAUCAACUUUCGAUGUUUGGGUAUUGGCCAAACAUGGUUGCAACGGGUAACGGAGGGUUAGGGCUCGACCCCGGAGAAGGAGCCUGAAAAACGGCUACUACAUCCAAGGAAGGCAGCAGGCGCGCAAAUUACCCAAUCCCGACACGGGGAGGUAGUGACAAUAAAUACUGAUACAGGGCUCUUUUGGGUCUUGUAAUUGGAAUGAGUACAAUUUAAAUCCCUUAACGAGGAACAAUUGGAGGGCAAGUCUGGUGCCAGCAGCCGCGGUAAUUCCAGCUCCAAUAGCGUAUAUUAAAGUUGUUGUGGUUAAAAAGCUCGUANUUGAACCUUGGGCCUGGCUGGCCGGUCCGCCUCACCGCGUGUACUGGUCCGGCCGGGCCUUUCCCUCUGUGGAACCCCAUGCCCUUCACUGGGUGUGGCGGGGAAACAGGACUUUUACUGUGAAAAAAUUANAGUGCUCNNNGCANCCUAUGCUCGAAUACAUUANC
This 734-nucleotide ribosomal RNA is filed under the name Fusarium oxysporum. Its description in RNAcentral is "SSU rRNA". It matches the Rfam family "Eukaryotic small subunit ribosomal RNA", at positions 61 to 808 of the family's 1831-position model. Lineage: Eukaryota; Fungi; Ascomycota; Sordariomycetes; Hypocreales; Nectriaceae. The record is from RNAcentral.